UGACUGUAGUAGUCAGGCAGGGCAAAGAAUAGAAAAGAGAUUUGACGAGAGGAGGAUAUUGUACUUGGCGGCUGGAGAGAAGGUGAAGUUGGAGAAAUAAAUUCAAGCUGAAAAAUGCAGAAUAAUGUAAGGGAAAAGUUAAAACUACUAAUGAUUCCACCCACCAGACAUAAAUAUUGAUGAUACACUGGGGCAUUUUCUUUUUUGUUGUUCCCGUGACUAUAUCUAUGUUGACAAAAAUAAUCCAUAACCAAUCUAUAAAUGAAAAUUUGGGUGAGUUUAUUCCAAACUAAAACUGAGGACCAUGGCCCGCGGCCUUUCUUCCUGAAGGAAGAAUGGGCACCAAAGAAGUGAGGUAUACAGAGUGGUUAUAUACCCCCAACAGGAUGUUUUACACAUGAUUGAAAUGUCCCUCCCACAAUAGUCACAAGAUUGCCCUGUUGGCACAGCGCUUGAUGGACACAGCUAUCUCGGAGGGCAUAGCAGGAGGCAAGUCUAUUGUCUUGAGCUGGGUGGUCACAGGUGAGCGCAGCAAUCAGUUUCUAGCCUAAGGAAAGAUGCUUAAUCCUUAAAGAAAUGCCAACGUUGGGAGGGGGAGGGAAGUUGCACCUUUAUCUCAAGGGCCUUUGUUCUUGCCAUAGGGAAUGUCUAAAGCAGGUAUACAAAGCGUGCUCAACAGCCUCAGUCAGGCCCUUUUGGAAAGACAAGGUCAGGCCGAAUUAGGUUUACACCAAAUGACUUCCUCAUAUACUCCAAUAUAUUCUAUUACUUGCCAUUUUUAUUUGUCACUAUGUAAUACUACACCCUAUAGCAGUGCACCUACACACACACACACACACACAGAUAUAUGUAUGUCUGUGUGUGAGUGUAUUUUUAAACCAAUUGCUAUCAUAUGGCGGGCUUUUGGUUUUUCCUUGGAUAAUGAACAUUUUCUGUUGCAUUUAAAUUUUAUUUGAAAGCCCAAUUUUCCAUCAAGUAGAUCGAUUUUAAUAAGACACAGUUCCCUCAUAUUGGACAGUUACACUAUUUCCAAUUUUCAGUAUUAUAAAUAAUAUCACCUCAAAUUUCUUUGUGUAUCUUUCAUCUGCAUCUCUGCCUAGUUCAUUAGGAUAAAUUCCUAAAGGUUUCCUUUUAUAAUUUUAAGUGUUAAAACUGUAACACAUGCUUUCAGUCUUACACAAGGGUGAAUGCUGAGUUGGAGAAUAGGAGUGUCUGUUCAGGAGAGCAUAUUUCCUCUAUUCUUACUAUUUUAUGUAACAUUUUUAUAUAACUAUCUAUUAGAUACAGAAAAGUACACGAAUCACAGGACUGGUGAAUUUUCACAAAUUAAACACACCAAUGUAACCAUUACCAGAUCAAGGUGAUGAUGCUGAUGACGACAAUGGUGAUAAGAAUGCAGUACAGUACUAGGCUACAUGCAGUGGGAGAAACAAGGUACACAGAAGAGAACUUCCUUUCACGUGCACGUGUAUACGUUAUUAGCUCUAUGGCUCUCAAGGAGGGUCUAGACAUCCUAAGGCUUUAGGAUGCUGGGUAGGGAAUUUUCAAGUGAGAACUGUUGCACAAGGGAAGCAAAGGCAUAGCAGGACCAAGUGCCAAGUGUGAGAGAGGCAAUACAGCGGUAAUAACAAGGAAGCUUGGGGGCAAUACUAAAAUGUGAAACGAGGGGAGACUUUUUGCUUAGUUUUACAGCUAUUACCUUAAAGGUUGGGGAUCAUUCUCUGAGUAUUUACUCUAUGCCUAGAACUGGGGUAGAUCCUAUGCAGGUAAGAAGAUUAGGAUAAUAGAGUCAGGUUAAUCUGGAAUUAAUCGAAUCUCACUUUCUCCACUUUCUAUCUGGGUGCUCUGGGACAAAACAUUAAAAUUUUCAAGUUUCUCAUUUGUAAAGUGGGAACAGCAAUGUGUACUUCACAGGAUGGUUGUCCGUGUAAAUGAGUUAAUCCAAUGUUAAAGCCCAUAGCAUAGUGCCUGACACAUAGUGAACCCCUAAUAAAUAAAUACUACUCCUCUUUUCCUCCCAAAUGAUACAGACUCUUUUCCUAGAAACUUAAUGUUAGGGUGAGAGAAAAGGCAAUGCAAUAAUUAAAGAGCACCUGUAGUUAAGAAUGAACUGAUGUGGUCAGAUAAUAAGAGAAACAGUGGUAUAGAGAAGGAAAAUGCAGGGUAUCCUUCCUCUGGUGUACUUCCCUACCUUUUGAUAAGAGAUGUUCACAUGCUAGCCCACACAGAGUACUCAAACUGAUUAAUUAACCACAGAUGUCAAGAUCUGUGAGACCACAUAAAGUUUUACACAUUAGAUAAAUUGCUCAGCUUUGGUCCAUUCAAGAGACAAAUAUUGGGUUCCCCUGGAUAUGAAAUAAAAAUGGAAAUUAUCUUGGUCUGGAUGCUUUGACAGCCUGCUCUGUAUCUUCCCCGGAUUCUCAAGAUAAAUUUUACUCUUAAUUUAUCAUUUUGCUCUAUAGCUUCCUCCAGAGUUGAUAUUAUAACAGUUUUCUACUAAAUUUCAAUACCAUUUACUAAAUAUUAGAUAGAAAUAAUAGUCUUAAGAAAAAGCUGGCUAUUCUAUGAUGCCCUCAUCUGUGUCAUUCCUAACCUGCUAAGGCUCCUGUGCAUUCCUUUCCUGUAGUGGUAAAGUUUGCAGGUGAAGCAAAGAAGCUUCAAAUGAGAUCUUGCUAUACAUCCAUUUUGGUCUAUAAAAACUCUAGAAGAAACCAAAAAGGAUCUGAGAUAAAAUCCAAGGAUACGAGUAAUGGGCAUUUAAGAAUGACAGCAUUUUCCUUCUAAAUAAUAAUGUAGAAGCCAAACUUUACAUAAUUUGACAGGACAUAAGGGUAAGAGUGACGAGCAAGGAAGUAGAAUUUUAGAAGAAGACAGGUUGGGAAAAAAAGGGAAGGAGGUGGGAGAUCAUGGAAAGAAGAAAGUAAGAAAACGUAUGAAUAAUCCCACAAGGAAAGCAAAUACAAAGCCCAGUUGGGUGAGUAGGAAUGAGUGUGUGAAAUAAAGAUGGGAUGAGAAUGUACAGGGUAGGAGCCAAAGACGGAGAUCUGGAAACAAUGGAGAGAAAGGAGAAAAGGGUAAUAGUAUUCAAUUUUGAAGGAAUGGAUGAGGAAAUGAUAGAAGGUCAAAUGAUCGAAAAGCGUGAAGAUAGGGAGCAAAGUACUCACUGGGUUAUGAUGACAAGAAAGAGAAAAAAAAUGAGGCUCUGUCUUUGACUCCUGAUCUGUGUCAAGCGAAGCUAUAAGCACAGACUUGUUAGGUUAUAAAGUGAGGUAAAGGAUUAUUAAGGGAGAGAGACUAAGGGCACCUAGUAUCUGUUCCUAUUACAGCUUUUCCAAGAUUUCUGCUUUAUCCAAGGAUUUCACUCCCUUCCCACCUUGUUCUGUAAUGUGACAGUAUUCUACACUCAUGUGCAGCAAGGUGCUUGUGGAAAAGAAUAUUGUGUAAGAAUAACAUAUACAAUCUGUAGAUUCCUGAUUCAUAGCACCUGAGGAAUUAAUUAAAACACAAAAAAUUAACAAAAGGAGAAAAUCUACAGACCUGUCCCAAAGUUCAUUCAUGGGGACCAUCUGUUUACUCAAAUGUAAAACACUUGACCAAAUUUUCAAGUGAUUUGUCCUAUCUUAUGUCCCGGAGGAAGACUGUUCUGUUUUUGUUCAACUGCAAAUAAUCAUUUAACAGGUAUUUAAUUUACUAUACCCCAGAUAUGUACUCUAGGCUCUGGGGAUCUACUCAGUGAACAACAGGAGGAUAAAAUUCAUCUCUUUCGUCUAACUUGUGUCUCUUUGCUUAUGCACUCAGUGUGGGGAGAAUGAGGGAAUUGUGCUGAUGGUGUGAAGAUGGAAGGAGUGUCACAGGGAUAGACUUAUUAAUCCUGUAUUAUAAUGAAGCCCUGACCUGACAAAAUUCUACAAAGUAGCUAAAACUUUGCUGUCACUAGGAGCCCAUGUUUGGUUUUGUAGCAUUCAGGGUGCAUGUGACCAGAGCUGUGCAAUGACUCAGAACAGCAGCAGGAGGGGAAAUAAGGAAGUGGCUCCAUCCAUGGGGGUAUGGGAAUAACAUUACAAGAGCCCUUGCUCAUCUAUUUUCAGCACGUCCUGCUUCUUCUAUGGGUACUUAGGCAAGGCAGGCUGGCUUGAGAUGACUACUUGCUUUAACUUUUGUCUUUAUUUAUAAAAUAUAGGUUGGAAAUGGAGGGGUGUGUGUGUGUGUGUAAUGCACAUCUCUCAACCCCUUUUGGUUUAUGAUGCUUACAUUGUUAACAAAGUUGUUUGUGGCUGCCCUUGAUGUUCAUUUAAAUGAGAUACAGUAUUUUUAAAACACUUAGCAUGACCCUGGCACAUAGGGAUGCUAAUUAUGUUGCCUGUGUAUAAAAGUACUAAAGGGGCUUCAUGGUGUGAGUUUUCACCACCUCUGUGUUCUCAGCUGGCCUCCUCCCUCCCAAGCCUCAGCUGAGGAGGGACCCAACUGUAAGAGAUUUGUUUUCUGUGACAUUUGCUAUUUGUUGCUGGCUCACUGUUUCAGUGGGGGAGGUGUUAUGCUGGAGUCUGUAGGGGCAGUAGACCAUGCACUUUUUGACUCUAUUACUCAUCUCUCUCAUGGAGAAUGUCACCCAGUGUCACUUCCCCCAUUUUUUUGGUGUAUUGAAGCUGCCUAAGUUCAUGUUGUCACUCAUGCGGCAAGUGGCAGACUUCAUAGCCUCAGAGAAAGUGGGGGAGGAGGUGUCUCGCCUUCUCUCCCCCUUUCUUUUCAGUGUUUCUGUGUUGGUGUGAGCCCUUUAGGCUGCUGUGUCCGUUGAGGAGUCCAGCAGACUUGUUUUGCCCUCCUGCUUUGUGGUGGGAAACCCGUUGCUUAUUUUAGCUAAUUUGAGAACAUUGCUGGGUUGCAGGGCUCAGAAGUUGAACUCUUUAACAGAAAUGUCUGUUGGUUUCAGUUUCUGCCUGUUACUCUGUGAAACCAAGAAUGGGGUAAAAUUUCUCAGUUUUGUUUUCUCGUUUCCAAGGCCUUUCUACCUUCCCCCCAACAUUUUAAUGCACGAGAAGCCUUUCUUUCCAAACAUAGAUUUGAGCUUAAAUUUAAACGAUGUUUUCCCCAUUGAUUGAGAGGAAUCUUGAAAACACCAUCCACUUCCUCUCUCUGUGCAGGGGCCUUAGUGCCAUAGAACCACUGCUCCCACAAGUCAGGUGGCUUUGGUGGUCAACUGUGUAUGAGGAGUGCUGGAUAAACCAGGUUGUACAGAUUUCUCUGUCACUCAGUUAACACGUGUGCAUUAUUGGGUCCUCCCAUAUGCCAGACACUGGAUGGACACUGCAGACGUGGGGCCUCUCGCGCCCACAGGAACACCAAUUUUUCUUUUACUGUGUAGCAUCUUUUGGGCCUGGGGUGCUGAAAAGCACACUUUGGGAAAGGCUGUCUAACUUGAAGAAGUUCUAAUCUAUUAUGUUAAAACCCCCAGUAAAAUGAUUCUCCGAUGAGUUUUCACUUUAUAUUCAUGGAGUAUUGCUGUCUAGCAGAUUUUACGUCUAAUUUAUAUAGCAUUCAGGAUAGGCCUGCUCAGCGAGGCAGCAUGAUCAAAUGCUCCCUUUAGGGAGCUACAUAGUCCCGACCUGCCACUCCGUGCAUACCUGUUUCCUCCUUGUGACCCACGUUUCCACUCGUCUUACUGGUGUCUGAGAACAAAUCUGAGAGGCAGAGCAGCCUGGGGCUCAGAGUGCCAGUGUUAGAAACACCUGGCCCAAAUUCUGGCUACCUCUAAUUUACUGACAGCUGUGCGUCCCUGAGCUGAUUACUUAUCUCCGUCAGCCUCAUUUUGGCCUCUUAGGGUUAUUUGCAAUGAUUAGAUGAGACAAAAUAUUUUAAAAUUUAGCACUAUGCUUAGCACAUAGGCAGUGUUCAAGAAACAGUAGUUGCAAUUAUUAGAGAGUGUCAUCUCCAUAAAGAGCAGCCCAAUGCCAGCCCGUUGCACCGCUCAUCAGCUCAUUUGGGACCUUGAUCUCUUGCAGAUUUUCUUUGUCCUUUUCCUCCUUGUCCUCCUCAACAUCACCAUUAUAAUUUACUGAGCAUUUACUGUGUCAUGAGUGGUGUGCAGUAAGAGAAUUUAUUUGCCUUGUGCCAUGUAAUCCCUACCUCGCUUCUAGUUUUGCUCAGUUGUUUUCUUCUCGUUGAAGCCUGUUUUAACCCUGUUAUUUAAAAAUACAAACUGCUCCCCGCCUCAACUUCCAAUCUUCCGCUGCUUUUACCCCCAGGACUUACCUUCUAAUAUACUGCAUAUUUAUUUAUUAUUCAUUUAUUUUUUGUUUAUGUCUUCCUUUGGAAUAUGAGUUCCAUAAGGGCAGGGAAGUUUUAUAAAUCUCUCUCUUUUCUUUAACUGAUGUGUUUAGAUGCAUCAGUUAAUACAGCACUUGGCGCAUAAUAGAUACACAAUAAAUAUUUGUUCAACCACUGUGUGAAUGGUUUUGAUUGAACAAAAAACUGUGUGACCAUCAGAACUGUUAUUUUACAGAUAAAGAGAACGAAUUCUGAUAAGUUAUGUAAAUUGACUCAGGAGAUAGCUAGUAGCUUUUGGAGUCUGGGUUUGCAUUAACCUGAAAGCUCAAUCUCUUGACCAUUUUUCUCUACUACUCUCAUCACCUAAGUACACUUGGGGAUUUUCAAGGGAUAUUUCCUAUAUGCUCACACAAAAAAAUCCCACUCUUGUUCAGCAACACAACUGGUGCCCUAGGGCCCUUAGGUGGCAGAGCUGGGUGGUCUGCGUCGAUGUGGAAGGGAAGGACUCAGUCUUCUUUCUGUUCCUCUCUUUCAGAAGCACUGAGAGAGAUGUCGUACGUGCCCUAAUGUUGCCCAGAGGGUUAGCUAGGUCUUCGGUGUGACUUGGAGCCGUGAGCGCACAGGCUAGACCAGUGUGAUCUCAGCAGCAGCCACCACGCUGUGCUCAUUCAUAUCUUCACUUUCCUGUGACAACUCAGGUUUAUAGUUCACCACUGGUGUGAGAAUCCCUAAACAGUAUGUUGUGCAGUUUCUGGAGAUCUGAGUAAUAAGUGUAAAUCUAUUUGUGUACAGAAAGAGCAAUAUUGUCACUAUUACGUGACUGCUCCCAGGAGAUGAUAAGCUGAAUAGAGCCUCUGGGUCAUAGUUUGGCUUUAGUUUUUCUGAGAGUUUAUAAGAGGCCCUUGGAGAAGCCAGUGGAUAAGAUCAUGAGUGAGAACCACAGGAGCUACCGCACAUGGGGCUUCUGGCAGGGCCGUGGACCAGGCUUUGGGCAUCUGAUGGAAAUGUGGCCAAGUGGAAUAGCUGCUUUGUCUUUUCUGCUUCUGUCCCACCACCCCCUGCAGCCCUCAGGAGUAGGGUAAAGCAGGGUGAUUCUUUGGGAUGAAAGACGUGUCCUCAGCUGGCCUAAGUUGAAGGGUAUAGAAGAGAGCAGAGGAACUUCAAUCAGCAGAAGGUCAAGACAAGCCAAGGACAGAAAAGAACCUGGACUUGGCUCACUAGCACAUUCUGUACUCAAGUUAAAAAGAUGGUUCAAUUGAGGCAAGAGUCUUUUAAUAAAGACGGUCUUCAUCAUAUCUGUCUCUUGCACCACGUUGCUUUAAUUAGACCAUUUGGCUAGGUUCCAACUUCCUGCCUGGAGUGUAAGGGUCUUUCUGCUAGAGUUCUCAAAGCAGAGUCGGGGAAGAUGGAAAGAGUUUGUUGAACCCAGCAUUCACCACGCACAGCUCCUCACUCCUGUGUUUUGGGUCAGGUACCUAUGCCCUUAACUGUACCUACUGUGCUCCAGAUCCAGAACCCCUGCCACCCUUUUCAGAGAACAAAUCUUCAGACUUCUGCCCAGGUAGGAAAAGGCAAAUAUGGAGAUGAUGAGGGAAUCUGGGGAUUCUAACUGCUCCUGAAAUAGGAUUCACUCAGCCUUCCUUAUUUCAGGCAGCCCUCUCACGCCAAGUCCUAGAGAUCUUGGGUCUUCUAGUUCCUGAGCCCUUUGAAAAAUCUGUGAUGUUAGUUGCUUUGGUUCUUCCCAGCUUUGUCUACUGUCAAUACGGGACUCAGCUUUCUCAGACCUGGUAAGUUAGCUGUCACUUGUCCAUCUCUUUCUACCUUCCAGAUUGUGUGGUUGGGGUCUCUUCUUCUGCUCUCCCAUUCAUAUGGACUUGUGUCUUUUGAAAGCUUUCUUUACUGUGGUUCUGGUUUAAGGAAAGAGUGAAAAUAGAUGUGUGUUAUAUCUGCCACCUUAACCUAGAACCUCCAAAAAUAUCAUUUCUUUCUUUUGUAUAGAGCUCAUCUGCUCUUCUUCAGGGAGACUCAUUUGUUGGUUACUAAGGGAAAAAAUUUAAUAAUGUUCAUAUUUAUUUAAAUUAGUUCAAUCUGUUAUUUAAUCAGUUCCUUUAGGUAAUAGUCUCUCUAGGGAAAAAAAGUCUGCAUUCUUUCUGAUUGUCCCCUUUCCUCCCAGAGAUGGUAUCCACACAUCUGGGGAAGGAAGUCUGAGGGGAAGAAUUUGUGUCUUGGGGUUGCAUGUUCUCUGGACUUCAGGUGAUGUUCCUGUUUACCUGGAUUCUGUUUGCCUUGCUAGCAUUUUCCUGUGAAGUUGGUGACUGGUAUCUUGCUGCCCCAUUUCUCUCCCAGAUUGCUCAGAACCUGGUAGUGUCCCUUCGAUUGGCUUUGCUUAAACCUGGCUCCCACUGGCUGCACGUGUGGGUCUCCACCACGACCUCUUGCUAAUCCACUGGCUCACAGACCCAACUCAGCCUCUGCCAUAAGGUCACUGGCCACUGCCAUUGUGGAAUUACUGGCAGUGACCACUGGCUGGUCUUCUGGAUCUGGACUUAGCCCCAUACCUCAUGGGAACGAAGGAUUGCUUUGAUAAACUGAACUUAAGAGACUCCCUCCACUCUGGUCUUCCUAAUUGAUGUGGUCAUAUGCCAGGCUGGUAUAGGAGGUAUUUAUUCUCCAUAGGCCUCAAUGGGGAGCGGGCAAUAAGCACCUCCUCCUGCCCUCAGUGUUACACUAAUGUACCUCUGCCUCUAGGGCCCCAAGCCUGGAACAGGGGCAAUCAAGACACUCAUGAUUAACAGUCUUGCUCUGCUGCCUCCCCCAACUUUCUCUGUUUUAUUAAAAAAUGAGGAAGGGGACAGAUCCUUCUUUUUCUUCUAGAGUCAUACAUUCCUUUUACCUUUGAACAGCAAGCCUCAGAGGGGGCUGGCCCAGGGCUCUAUCAUUUCCACACUACAGGUGAUCUCUGUAAGUGUUGGGUCUCUGAUGAGGAGGCAAAAAGGACUUGGAAAAAUUCUCUCUCAAGACAAUAGAAAUUGUCUUCUGCAGAAUUCUAUAUUGUAUAGUAGAAGCUGAUUGCUCAUUUUCCCUCUUUGUGUUUCUCUUUUAAAAAGAUCCUAGUAUUUCCUCAGGCAAGUGGAUUCCUUGGGCCGACCUAUUUAAAAAAGGCAAAAGAGAGAAGCAGAUAUUUUUCAGAGUAUUACUAACCAUAUUUGUGAUACACUUACAUUGAUGUAGAUUGAAAAGACUCAGAAAACCCAGGGUCAGCUAAGCAUUGAGUACCUGGAAAAUGUCCUGGAAUACGGGAUUCUGGUUACCUGAACAGGGUUUGGGGUGGAGGCUGACCACUUGAAUAUUAGCUGUGUGAAGUAGGGCCGUUUCUUAACAACAGUUCGUUUGUACGAUUGGGUUGCUAAGAUGAUUAAAUGAGAGCUUUGUAAAGCACUUACAAGAACUUCAUAAAUUGUUACCAUCACCAUUACUAAUACUACUCCUAAUAAUGUCACAUUCAGAAGGAGUCCAUUGCUUUGAUCUGAAACAUUUCAAACUUUAGAAUGUUCUAGUUUUGUUUAUUUAGGAUGCUCCCUUUCCAAAUGAUCUAGAGUUCAGUGGAAACAUCUUUGGACUGGCAGAUAAAAAGAUACAGGGUGGGGGCUGCCCUGGUGGCAUAGUGGUUAAGUCUGCAAGCUCCGUUUUGGCAGGCUGGGGUUCACAAGUUCGGAUCCUGGAUGCGGACCUACCCCGCUGGUCAAGCCAUGCUGUGGUGGCAUCCCACGUACAAAAUAGAGGAAGAUUGGCACAGAUGUUAGCUCAGUGACAAUCUUCCUCAAGUAAAGAGAUGAAAUUAGCAACAGAUGUUAGCUCAGGGCCAAUCUUCCUCACCAGAAAACAAAAAAGAUGCAGGGAGGAAGCCACCACACUAAGGACUAUUAGAAAUAAUUAACAACGUUAAUGAACAACUGAAUGGCCUGGCUGGAGACCCCAUCUUGGACUAAGGUUGCCAAAAUCUUGUCUACUUUGCUGUUUUAACUGUUUGACAUUUGUUUAAAGCCCCCGAGUUGGUGACAAUUUUGGUUAGGUGGGCUUAAAAUAAAAAGUGAAAGAAUUCCUGUAAACAUGAGAAAAAAAAUUUUUUAAAUUCUCAGUUAGUUCUAUGGGAUAAAUAAGAUAACUAGUUUGAACUCUUUAACUUUAAGCAUUUAGAAGGAAUUAAAAAUGCCAAAACCUUAAGGAAGAUUAUUGCUGGUUUAUGCGAUUUUGAAUGAUUUUUAAUGAUUUUUUUCCCCUGAAAUCUCCAAGUUUUCUUUACAUCUGUUACUUUUAUCAGAUAAAAAUGAUAAAGAGAAAAGCAAAAUGAUAAUAUAGAACUGAUUUUUAUAUCUUAAAAUAAUAAAGACUUUCCAACGACCACCUUGGAUUUGAUCCUCAGCAGGCAUGUUUCCUAGUCACUAUUCCAUUUGAGCUGACAUCGACUUUUAAACUAAAUUUGAAAUGGCUCAAUUCAUACAAAGUAUCAUGCUCACCUCGUGGCAAUAUGGUUGUUGCUAAAGAUCAGUUUAGGAACAAAGAUCUGUGCCAAUUGCUGCAUUUCAUUAAACGUGUUGGACUUAGAGAGUCUGAUAAGCUUGGGUUUGAGUGAAAACUUCAAGAUUGUGUAUAUGUUUUUUGUCGCAUGCCUUUUAUACAUGUAAUCAGUCAUAUAUGCACCAGAUAUCGUUAUGCAAGCUCAAAUAAAAAGACGUCUUGAAAAAUUAAAGUCACCUCUGCUCUCCUCAUCUCUAUGAUAAG
RNAcentral lists this long non-coding RNA (11046 nucleotides) under Equus caballus (horse). Its description in RNAcentral is "lncRNA (ENSECAG00000051152.1)". Lineage: Eukaryota; Metazoa; Chordata; Mammalia; Perissodactyla; Equidae. The record is from RNAcentral.